UUCCGCCGGCGACCGGCGCACGGGUGCGCACCGCGUAUGGAACCUGCCCUCUACAGGGGAAUAGCCCAGGGAAACUUGGAUUAAUGCCCCGUAGUACCAUUUAACGGCAUCGUUUGAUGGUUAAAGCCUUCGGGCGGUAGAGGAUGGCCAUGCGUCCCAUUAGUUAGUUGGUAGGGUAACGGCCUACCAAGACCGCGAUGGGUAGGGGCCCUGAGAGGGGGAUCCCCCACACUGGUACUGAGACACGGACCAGACUCCUACGGGAGGCAGCAGUGAGGAAUAUUGGACAAUGGGCGAGGGCCUGAUCCAGCCAUGCCGCGUGCAGGAAGAAUGCCCUAUGGGUAGUAAACUGCUUUUAUACGGGAAGAAAAAGGGGCACGUGUGCCCUGUUGACGGUACCGUAAGAAUAAGGACCGGCUAACUCCGUGCCAGCAGCCGCGGUAAUACGGAGGGUCCGAGCGUUAUCCGGAAUUAUUGGGUUUAAAGGGUCCGUAGGCGGGCCGGUAAGUCAGGGGUGAAAGUCUGUAGCUCAACUAUAGAACUGCCUUUGAUACUGCCGGUCUUGAGUCAUGGUGAAGUUGGCGGAAUAUGUGGUGUAGCGGUGAAAUGCAUAGAUAUCACAUAGAACACCGAUUGCGAAGGCAGCUGACUAACCAUGUACUGACGCUGAUGGACGAAAGCGUGGGGAGCGAACAGGAUUAGAUACCCUGGUAGUCCACGCCGUAAACGAUGGAUACUAGCUGUCCGGGUCCUUGAGACCUGGGCGGCCAAGCGAAAGUGAUAAGUAUCCCACCUGGGGAGUACGUUCG
RNAcentral lists this ribosomal RNA (809 nucleotides) under Maribacter flavus. RNAcentral's name for it is "bacterial SSU rRNA". It matches the Rfam family "Bacterial small subunit ribosomal RNA", at positions 83 to 888 of the family's 1533-position model. The record is from RNAcentral. Lineage: Bacteria; Pseudomonadati; Bacteroidota; Flavobacteriia; Flavobacteriales; Flavobacteriaceae.